UACGGGGGGGGCAAGCGUUGUUCGGAAUUACUGGGCGUAAAGGGCGCGUAGGCGGCCUGCUAAGUCGGAUGUGAAAUCCCUCGGCUCAACCGAGGAACUGCAUCCGAUACUGGCGGGCUUGAAUCCGGGAGAGGGAUGUGGAAUUCCAGGUGUAGCGGUGAAAUGCGUAGAUAUCUGGAGGAACACCGGUGGCGAAGGCGGCAUCCUGGACCGGUAUUGACGCUGAGGCGCGAAAGCUAGGGGAGCAAACGGGG
This 254-nucleotide ribosomal RNA is filed under the name uncultured bacterium. RNAcentral describes it as "partial 16S ribosomal RNA". It matches the Rfam family "Bacterial small subunit ribosomal RNA", at positions 524 to 777 of the family's 1533-position model. The record is from RNAcentral.